GAUGAACCUCUUUAGAGGUUCGUGGUAGGAGAGCGUUCUAAGGGCGGUGAAGUCAGACCGGAAGGACUGGUGGAGCGCUUAGAAGUGAGAAUGCCGGUAUGAGUAGCGAAAGAAGGGUGAGAAUCCCUUCCACCGAAUAUCUAAGGUUUCCUGAGGAAGGCUCGUCCGCUCAGGGUUAGUCGGGACCUAAGCUGAGGCCGAUAGGCGUAGGCGAUGGACAACAGGUAGAGAUUCCUGUACCAGUGCUAAUUGUUUAACCGAUGGGGUGACACAGAAGGAUAGGGAAUCGCACGAAUGGAAAUGUGCGUCCAAGCAGUGAGUGUGAGAAGUAGGCAAAUCCGCUUCUCGCGAAGCAUGAGCUGUGAUGUGGAAGGAAAU
RNAcentral lists this ribosomal RNA (378 nucleotides) under Escherichia coli. RNAcentral's name for it is "partial 23S ribosomal RNA". It matches the Rfam family "Bacterial large subunit ribosomal RNA", at positions 1205 to 1579 of the family's 2925-position model. The record is from RNAcentral. Lineage: Bacteria; Pseudomonadati; Pseudomonadota; Gammaproteobacteria; Enterobacterales; Enterobacteriaceae.